UUAGUGUAAAACACUUGCAUACUUAAUAAUUAUGAUGUGAGAGAAUCCUUUUCCUGGUUUAUUAUGUCAUACUCAAUACACCAGGGUGGCUGAUAUAUGAAUUGAUAUCACCUGUUAUCCUCGUCAUUCACAUAUGUUAAAUGCACUUGUAGCCAUAAUACAUACACCUUGAUAUCUACCACAGUCAUGCUUAGCACUUGGACUGGCACGUUGCUCACAUCUCUUUCUAAUCCUUUCUUCAUAAGCUUUUUCUAAGCUUACAUAUUUUCAUCGGCUACCCAUUUAGAAAAGCUCAACUAUACAUAUGUAAAAAGGUUUCAGUAAGAAUGCAUAACCAACUAAAUUAUUAGCACAAACACAAUAAAUAAAUAAAUAAAUAAUAAUGUUUGUACCUCCAAUAUGCUAUCAAGAAUUAAUAACAUCCUUCAGUGAACCAUUGCGCUGAUUUGAACGCUGAUUUGAACGCUCUGACUCAUUAGGCCUUUCUUUACAAGGACAAAAUCACGAAAAGGCAAAAUAAAGCAAAGAGCUCACCUUGCAAAAUUAGGAAAGGGAGCUUUCAAUUGGAAGAAGAAGUUGGCCCCGAGACAAUGGUCCACACAAAUGGAGGCAAAAGUUCAUGUAAAGAACACAAAUCAAAGCAUGCACCACAUAAAUAGAGAAUCAUCCGAAACUCAAAUCAUCGGAAUAAAACAAGAGAUCUUAUUAGCCUUUGCUAACUUGGAAAUCUAAAAUCAAAACAUCAAAUCACCAAACAAAGGUGAGUAAGAAAACAGAACUUAAAAAAUAAAAAACAGAAUGAAAUAUGAACACAGAGCAGAAAUUAGCCGCUACAGAACAUUUAUAACCAAGAAGUGACCAGCCCUAUUCAAUAGCAUCAUCAUCCUAAUUCCCAAGUCAUACCCUUUGCUAAAAACUCUUUUAAGUCAUGCAUUUUCUAACUAUGAUUGUAUUGCUUUUGACUCUAAAGACAGUAAAUGUUCCAACUUGUCUAAGGCUACAAAAAUAUGUUAAUGAUGGUAAACUUGACUUAAAACAAAUACGUUCCCUCCAAUAUGAGUUCUCUCUAUCUUGGUUCUAAACGUGGUAAACUUGGUUUAAAACAAAUAAGCUCUCUCUAUCUGCAACCCUUAGAACACCUAGUUUAAGUAUGCAACAUUUUAUCUUAAUUAAAUUCAGAAAGUUGAAUAUGGCUUUAAGGCAUUUUACAAAUAGGUUUUGGGCACUAAUUAGGAUGGAGAAAAAUACUACAGAGAGUAAACAGAGCAGAAAUUAGCUGUUAUGGAACAUUUAUAACCAAGAGGUGACAAUCGCAACUGUAUUUGAUUGAAUUCAACUUUUCAUCCAUUCACAAUAUUCAUCAUUUUCCAUGAUUAAUGAUUCUAGAGAAUGAAAUGUUUGAAAUGAGAAUGAGUUCUUCAAUUGUUUAAGUUGCUCCUGAGAUGAGUAUGUGUUCUGUGUUUGUUUCAUGGAUACCCAAUUAAUUGGAGAACAAGAUUAGAUAACCCAAAAAAUGAAGAAACUUCACCGUGCUUUUCGGAUGACAAAAUUUUGCCACCACAAUAGUGGUGGCGAACUCUGCUCGGCAAACAAUAGCUCAUCCCUAUUCCUCGAACAAGACCCUGCCUCUCAUUUUUUUCUCUUUUUUUUUUGUUAAUUUGGUUUGAAGAGACAAAAUAUGCAAGGGAAAAAGAAAUCACGCAAAAGUGGGGAAAUCCAAUUGUUUUAAAUUCAAGAGUUAGCUACUUGCAUGAAAUUAUUAUUCUAAAUUCAAGAGUUAGCUACUUGCGUGAAAUUUCAUAAGUGACUUGGCACAAAAACUGCCUUCCUUUCCUGGAAAAAAAAAAAGAGAACCAAAAAUUAUACAUUUAACCCAUCAAUCAUGCUGAACGCUCAUCUGAAGUGGCCUGAAUUUAACAUCAAAGAAUCUUUGGAACUAAUUUCACUACCAUGGCAUAUUUCGACAAUCUAAGCUUGCUCAGACUCAAAAAAAAAAAGUAUAGCUAAUUGUCAAAAAAAAAUACAUCAUCUUUUCUUAGCUUUACAUUGCAUAAAUUCAGGGCUAACAAGUUCAUAUUGUUAGACCACCAUUCAUUUAUUGAAGUUAGGAAUAACACCUAGACCAACUGUAAUAACCUCUCAAUAUGUUUAGAAAAUCACCUAUAUUUUUCUUGUUACUUGGUUUUGGAUAGAAAAGUUAGUUGUAAUGCCUCUGGAAUACAAAUACCUUAAUGUAAUUCCUUUAUAAUAGUUUGUCUGUUGACAACCUAAUUAAACUCAUUCAAAAAAAAAAUUGAACUUGCAAAUUUGGUGUUCAACACCUUUUAAUUUGAUUAGUUUCCUGCGUAAUUUCUAAUGUUUUAAAUCUCAAAUAUAGAAAAUGAAUUGGAUAUAUUCAUAGGCUAGAUUACAAACUACAUUAGCUAAACCCACAAAGUAAAAUAGGAAAAGGAUAAAACACAUACACACACACAAACACAAAGUGAAACAGAAAGUAUGAAAUGCCUGGCCGUGUCUUACUCUUACACAAGGAAAAUUAAAGAAAGAAAAAGAGAAAAAUAGCAUCCAAUUGGCCUUCCAUUUAUUCCUUUCUGUUCUGUAGUUUUUUUGGUUCUUUUUGGAAACUUAUUAGUUUAUAAUGGAUUAAACUAUACAGAUAUUAUAAUAAGAAAAGGUUAUAGGAACUGCAAAACCUGUUAGGUGCGGUUUAUGAGAAGAAAAAUCAAUUGCUCCAAUACAUUAUAAAUGAGGUGUUAAAAAAAAUGACAAAUUAAUGCUCCACCAGUUUUGAUAUCAAAGAAGUUGUUGCUCAAUAUAAACGUCUACAUCUGGCUACGUCAAUUUUGCAACAGUUUGCCAACUUGUUACAAAAGAUUUGAAAGGUAUUUUAUUUUCAACAGAAUCUAAAACCAAAUGAAUAUUUCGAAGUGGUUAAACAAAAUGCUCAUGGGUUUGGUUGCCAAUUCAUGUACUAAUCACAAAUCAAGAACUACUUGGUUUCUAUCCAAGUGGACAUUUUCAUUGGCUUGGGUAUUAAGCAUCGAAAGUCUCUUACUUAUUUUCUUUAUUCAUAACCGUUGACAAUGACACCAGUUUUUUCGCUCUGCAAUUUUCAAAUUUACGUGAACCAUAUAAUGUACUAUGUAAACACAGGAAGGGAACCAUAAUGUCAUAACAAAUUACAAAAAACAAAAAAACAAGCAAAUACCAUAUCACAAUCGAAACAUGCAUUGAUGAAAUUACAUUAAACCAAUCCAAAACAUCAAACAAUUUUCUGAAACGGAGAAAAACUAACACACAAUAAUUGUAGAUGUUAAAUGAGGACAUAUAGCGAAUAUAUGGUGUGCACGUCAAAUAAGUUUGAAUGACCUGUCUAAAAAUACAGCCCUUAAUCAUAAAACAAAAGACAUCAGCACAACAAACAAAUCACAUCAAUGCGACUUUCAAUUAUGAUCAGCAAAUUGAUAAACUCAAAACCGAUAAGCUAAUAGACAUAGAGUGAAAAGUUCACCUUUCAAAACCAUCGAAACUUCACAAUGCUCUUCUGGUGAAGAAAUUCAACGACAAUGGCUAUGGCAGUGGCGGUGGUGGAUUCCGGUCAACAGGCAAUGACUCCUCCGUGCUCCUCGGACUCCCUUUUUUGUGGCUUUGCUAUUACUUUCCCCUUCUUCUCUAUUUCUUGUUUGCUUGUAAUGGGAUGGAGUUAGAAAACUUGUAUGCGUUUUUAGUGAUGUGCAUCAAUGAUUCUUGGAGAUGAAAUCUUUGAGAUAACAGUAGUGGCUUCUUCAUAAUUUUAGCAGUUAAAAAACAAUAAACUGCUGCAUUAGUUAACCCAAACUGAAAGAAAACAUGCGUCAAAAAUGAAUGGUAACGAGGUUUCUACCAACCGCUUCCUACCCCUCCAAGAAGUACUCCUGUCCAACUAACAAAACCAAAUGCCCUCAAAGAACAACAAUGAAGGACUCACUCUUGCAGCUACCAAAGAACGCUG
This 3991-nucleotide long non-coding RNA is filed under the name Coffea arabica (coffee). Its description in RNAcentral is "long non-coding RNA (CARA_LNC007478)". The record is from RNAcentral. Lineage: Eukaryota; Viridiplantae; Streptophyta; Magnoliopsida; Gentianales; Rubiaceae.